This 115-nucleotide ribosomal RNA is filed under the name Acinetobacter schindleri. The record is from RNAcentral. Lineage: Bacteria; Pseudomonadati; Pseudomonadota; Gammaproteobacteria; Moraxellales; Moraxellaceae.
GCUGGCGACCAUAGCAAGAGUGAACCACCUGAUCCCUUCCCGAACUCAGAAGUGAAACCUCUUAGCGCUGAUGGUAGUGUGGGACUUCCCAUGUGAGAGUAAGUCAUCGCCAGCU